CUUCAGAUUCCAGGACGGCUCCAGGGGGCAUCAUCGAAAGGCGUGGCACAUCAGGGCCUUCAGGAUGGCUGCGUCCUGGUUAUUGCCCUGUGGUGCCAGAGAGAACCACACAGCCUGCUGCUGCUCCUGCCUUUAAUUUCCCAAAGAGCCAUCAAAAGACCUUGGACUUUGUUCUGCAAGAGGAGCUAGCAAAAUGGAGUGACUGUGGUCACCCUGGAAGCCUUUGACAGCUGGGGAGGCCCUGCUGAGCUUAGAAAACCAUCUGAUAGAUUUCCUGAGUAAGGAUUGGGCUUUGUAUUUUGAAGCACAAAUAAACUUGAUAAAAUUAAA
Rattus norvegicus (Norway rat) is the source of this 330-nucleotide non-coding RNA. Lineage: Eukaryota; Metazoa; Chordata; Mammalia; Rodentia; Muridae. The record is from RefSeq and is a predicted model, not a curated record.